Molecule: transfer RNA, 72 nt
Filed under: Camelus bactrianus (Bactrian camel)
Lineage: Eukaryota; Metazoa; Chordata; Mammalia; Artiodactyla; Camelidae
Also listed under: 2 other names
Rfam family: tRNA
About the family: Transfer RNA (tRNA) molecules are approximately 80 nucleotides in length. Their secondary structure includes four short double-helical elements and three loops (D, anti-codon, and T loops).
Source: Rfam by way of RNAcentral
GAGGGGACAGCUCAGUGGCAGAGCACAUGCUUAGCAUGCAUGAGGGCCUGGGUUCAAUCCCCAGUCCCCUCC